GACGAACGCUGGCGGCGUGCUUAACACAUGCAAGUCGAACGAAGAGCGACGGAAGCUUGCUUCUAUCAAUCUUAGUGGCGAACGGGUGAGUAACGCGUAAUCAACCUGCCCUUCAGAGGGGGACAACAGUUGGAAACGACUGCUAAUACCGCAUACGAUCUAAUCUCGGCAUCGAGGAUGGAUGAAAGGUGGCCUCUACAUGUAAGCUAUCACUGAAGGAGGGGAUUGCGUCUGAUUAGCUAGUUGGAGGGGUAACGGCCCACCAAGGCGAUGAUCAGUAGCCGGUCUGAGAGGAUGAACGGCCACAUUGGGACUGAGACACGGCCCAGACUCCUACGGGAGGCAGCAGUGGGGAAUCUUCCGCAAUGGACGAAAGUCUGACGGAGCAACGCCGCGUGAGUGAUGACGGCCUUCGGGUUGUAAAGCUCUGUUAAUCGGGACGAAAGGCCUUCUUGCGAAUAAGUGAAGAAAGGAAU
This 476-nucleotide ribosomal RNA is filed under the name Veillonella parvula. RNAcentral's name for it is "bacterial SSU rRNA". It matches the Rfam family "Bacterial small subunit ribosomal RNA", at positions 28 to 478 of the family's 1533-position model. The record is from RNAcentral. Lineage: Bacteria; Bacillati; Bacillota; Negativicutes; Veillonellales; Veillonellaceae.